Molecule: long non-coding RNA, 765 nt
Organism: Nematostella vectensis (starlet sea anemone)
Lineage: Eukaryota; Metazoa; Cnidaria; Anthozoa; Actiniaria; Edwardsiidae
Exons: 2
Source: RefSeq, a predicted model, not a curated record
GAGCGGAUGGCCUGUUUAAUAUCUCGGACUUUAAUAGAUUCUUUUUUUUAACGGUUGAGGUUUCCGUCGGACCUCCGGAAGUAAACUGGUGACAAUGCGGCUUUAACAUGGAGCGUCCGACUCACCUGGAGCACCAUGGUACCAACAAACUGAACAAUGAAAGCUCCACCAAUCACAAUGACGCCAAACGAUAAAGCUGCAGAGACAUCAAAAAUUAAUUAUGGAAUUACAAGUGGCCAAGUGUGGUUUCAAACAGUAUUAUCAUUUUUAAACUGACGUAUUUUUUUUCUGAUAUCAUGAUUCGCUUAAUCAAAGACCGUACUUAAUCGAGGGUAGCGCUAACGUAAAAAUCCUAAAUUUUAAUCUUUUGCUAAAUUCGAACGAGACUAGCAGUAUGAGCCAGCGUUGAUAGCAAGCGAGAGACGUAAAGACACAACGAUGAUGCUUCAUCAGCCGUGGAGCUUAAUCGAGGGGCUAUAUAUUCGGGUUUGGGACUUACCUACUAUCUUGCAUAUCUUCGCCUGGUCGCCGUCUGACAAGUCCGUCAUCCUUUUCUUGACGAUGUCUUCGAGUACGACGAGAGCCAUCGCGUUAAGGGCGGAGGAGGCGGUGCUGAUGCAAAUCAACAUUUAGCGUCAAGUUAUUGAAGAACUCUUAAAUCUAUAAACUAAGGAGAAGGGAAAAGCCCACGACAACCGACAUUAUAUUGUGAUUUUAUUAUCUAAUUACAAGGCUUGUGAAACUUUUAAAUGCAAUGAAAAACAA